UUCCCUGUGGUCCAGUGGUUAGGACUUGGUGCUUUCACUGCCAUGGCCCAGGUUCAAUCCCUGGUCGGGGAA
This 72-nucleotide transfer RNA is filed under the name Bos taurus (domestic cattle). It matches the Rfam family "tRNA". Rfam says of the family: Transfer RNA (tRNA) molecules are approximately 80 nucleotides in length. Their secondary structure includes four short double-helical elements and three loops (D, anti-codon, and T loops). Lineage: Eukaryota; Metazoa; Chordata; Mammalia; Artiodactyla; Bovidae. RNAcentral also lists the same sequence under 3 other names. The record is from Rfam by way of RNAcentral.